This is a long non-coding RNA of Corticium candelabrum, 422 nucleotides long. RefSeq lists it as uncharacterized. Lineage: Eukaryota; Metazoa; Porifera; Homoscleromorpha; Homosclerophorida; Plakinidae. The record is from RefSeq and is a predicted model, not a curated record. The transcript is spliced from 3 exons.
GUCUUUUUGCGCACCUUUCAAGCAGUAACCUGCGCCGUUUAUUAAAAGGGGGCCUCAGUUUUUGUCGUCCGCUGAACGUGGUUUUCUCGGCACAAAUCAAUUUCAAUAAAUUAGACGACAGGUGUAUACAUUGGAUAUGCAUUUUGCCAACUGGCAUUAUAUUUCAAACUAGGCAUUGGUUGUUAUAUGGGGAGAAGUCUAACAGAAGGCCUAUCAGACAGGUGCCAACUGGUUCUUCUAAAGGCAGGAAAAUCUUAGAGACUUGGCCAAAGUCAGGGGUAACGGCAUACGUAAUACUUAAAUGUUACAUGGAACUUAAAUGCUGUUAGAAUGGCUUUCAUUGGCAGCUUAAUUUUUUUGUACAGUCUGAAUUGCCUUUAGAAUUCUCAUGAUAUAUGUUUGUCGUGAUAUAUAUCAUUGGC